Molecule: ribosomal RNA, 253 nt
Filed under: uncultured bacterium
Lineage: Bacteria
Description: partial 16S ribosomal RNA
Rfam family: Bacterial small subunit ribosomal RNA
Source: RNAcentral
UACGGGGGGGGCGAGCGUUGUUCGGAAUUACUGGGCGUAAAGGGGUUGUAGGUGGUCUGCUAAGUCAGACGUGAAAUCCCUCGGCUUAACCGGGGAACUGCGUCUGAUACUGGAUGGCUUGAGGUUGGGAGAGGGAUGCGGAAUUCCAGGUGUAGCGGUGAAAUGCGUAGAUAUCUGGAGGAACACCGGUGGCGAAGGCGGCAUCCUGGACCAAAUCUGACGCUGAGGAGCGAAAGCGUGGGGAGCGAACAGG